RNAcentral lists this ribosomal RNA (254 nucleotides) under uncultured bacterium. RNAcentral describes it as "partial 16S ribosomal RNA". It matches the Rfam family "Bacterial small subunit ribosomal RNA", at positions 524 to 776 of the family's 1533-position model. The record is from RNAcentral.
UACGAAGGGUGCAAGCGUUACUCGGAAUUACUGGGCGUAAAGGGUGCGUAGGUGGUUGUUUAAGUCUGUUGUGAAAGCCCCGGGCUCAACCUGGGAAUGGCAAUGGAUACUGGACAGCUAGAGUGCGGUAGAGGGUAGUGGAAUUCCCGGUGUAGCAGUGAAAUGCGUAGAUAUCGGGAGGAACACCAGUGGCGAAGGCGGCUGCCUGGACCCGGCCUGACGCUGAGGCGCGAAAGCGGUGGGGAGCGAUCCGG